GCCAGCUGUAAAAUGUCACAUGGGAUGUGCCUGUAGAGAGAUUUCCCCUACCAAUUAAGUUUCCUCUUUUUCGUGACAGACUGUCCUUUUCCUCCACAGGAGUGUGUGCAUCCCAGGCAGGCGUGUUUGGGUGAGGAUAUUAAACCCCUUAAUGUCUCUACCCUAUAUUGCUACUCUGUGGAGUUUGGGAGGGCUGCCUCAGAGAGGAGGAAAUGGUCUCAAAAUGGAAGCCUUGCUGGUUAGUCCAGGACAUGUGACUCUGAUCCCAAAUCAGUUCACCUCUGUUGAUAAGUUAAGUUCUCAGUUUGUUUCAAAGGGCUUUGCCCUGCUACUUUAAUGUGCUGAAAAUCUUAAAUGUAAGGAAAUAUAUUCUCCUUUAAAAUUGUAAAUUUUAAGCAUCCAUUACCUGCUGAAUUGUAAAACACUUGAUCAUAACUUUAAUUUGCUUGAGGAAAUGCCAGUAUCUCUUAAACAGGGCUUGUAUUUGUUCAUAGGAAAACAUGAAUUCCUGCAGGAGAAUCUGUAAAUACUCUUAUCUGCACUGCAGAGACUUUACUCCACUUCAGACUGGGUAGAGGCUUUCCAAGAAGGUGUUGAAUACGCAGUAGUAACAGCUAUAACAGUCUAAGGAAAUAACACUUCAGAAGCCAGCCUGUAUCCCCAUGUCUCCUGAGCACAGUUUGUGUCUGCCAGCAAUACCGACUGGAUCUGCUGAAAAACUGAGAGCUGGGAGUCCUCAGCAUGCAGAGCACCUGGGCAGCGUCCCUGCGAGAGCCGUCAGAGCGGCCUUGUUCCCUGCAGAGCACGCAGGGCCCCAGGGCCAGCUGUGGCUGACCGAUGGCUGGCAAGGAGCACGCGGUGAGAGACCUGUUAGGUCUCUAGGCUGGAGCCAUCUAGGACCCCAAGUGUCUUAG
This 914-nucleotide long non-coding RNA is filed under the name Apteryx owenii (little spotted kiwi). RNAcentral describes it as "lncRNA (ENSAOWG00000014669.1)". The record is from RNAcentral. Lineage: Eukaryota; Metazoa; Chordata; Aves; Apterygiformes; Apterygidae.